RNAcentral lists this transfer RNA (76 nucleotides) under Petrotoga mobilis SJ95. RNAcentral describes it as "tRNA-Gly (CCC) (tRNA-Gly-CCC-1-1)". It matches the Rfam family "tRNA". From Rfam's summary of the family: Transfer RNA (tRNA) molecules are approximately 80 nucleotides in length. Their secondary structure includes four short double-helical elements and three loops (D, anti-codon, and T loops). The record is from RNAcentral. RNAcentral also lists the same sequence under 14 other names. Lineage: Bacteria; Thermotogati; Thermotogota; Thermotogae; Petrotogales; Petrotogaceae.
GCGGAUGUGGCUCAGUUGGUAGAGCUCCAGCUUCCCAAGCUGGGAGUCGCGGGUUCGAGUCCCGUCAUCCGCUCCA